CUAGAGUUUGAUCCUGGCUCAGAUUGGUGCUGGCGGCAGGCUUAACACAGCCUGCGUCGAGCGGUAGCACAAGGGGAACUUGCUCCCUGGGUGACAACGGCAGACAGAUGAGUAAUAUCUGGGAAGCACAGUGGAGGGAUAACUGCAAACAGUGAAAGCUAAUACCGCAUAACGUCGCAAGACCAAGGGGCCUUCGAGGCACUCCUUGCCAUCAGAUGUGCCCAGAUGGGAUUAGCUAGUAGGUGGGGUAAUGUGCUCACCCUAGGCAGCAGUCCUAAGCUGGUCUGAGGAGGGAUGACCAGCCACACUGGGAACUGAGACACGGUCCAGACUCACACGGGAGAGGCAACGGUAAGAAUAUUGCACAAUGGGCGCAAGCCUGAUGCAACCAAUACCGCGUGUGUGAAGAAGGCCUUCGGGUUGUAAAGCACUUUCCAGCGAGGAGGAAGGUGGUGAACUUAAUACGUUCAUCAAUUGACGUUACUCGCAGAAAAGAAGCACCAGCUAACUCCAUUACUAGCAGCCGCGGUAAUACGGAGGAAUUACAGCGUUAAUCGGAAUUACUGGGCGUAAAGCGCACGCAGGCGGUUUGUUAAGUCAGAUGUGAAAUCCCGGGCUCAACCACAGGGAACCGCAUUUGAAACUGGCAAGCUGAAGUCUCGUAGAGAGGUAGAAUUCCAGGUGUAGCGGUGAAAUGCGUAGAGAUCUGGAGGAAUACCGGUGGCGAAGGCGGCCCCUGGACGAACUGACGCUCAGGUGCGAAGCGUGGGGAGCGAACGAGUUAGAUACCCUGGUAGUCCACGCUGUAAACGAUGUCGAUUUGGAGGUUAUGCCCUUGAGGCGUGGCUUCCGGAGCUAACACGUUAAAUCGACCACCUGGGGAAUACGGUCAUAGGGUUAAAGCUCAAAUGAAUUGACGGGGAGCCCGCACCAGGCGGUGAACAUGUGAGACAAUUCGAUGCAACCGCGAAGAACCUUACCUACUCUUAGCAUCCAGAGAACUUUCCAGAGAUGGAUUGGUGCCUUCGGGAACUCUGAGACAGGUGCUACGCUGGCUGUCGUCAGCUCGUGUGUGAAAUGUUGGGUUAAGUCCCGCAACGAGCGCAACCCUUAUCCUUUGUUGCCAGCGGAUUUCGGCCGGGAACUCCGAGGAGACUGCCAGUGAUAAACUGGGAGGAAUUAGAGGGAUGACGAUCAAAAGUCAUCAUGGCCCUUACAGUGGGGCUACACACGUGCUACAAUGGCGUAUACAAGAAGCGACCUCACGAGAGCAAACGGACCUCGCCAAAAUUACGUCGUAGUCAGUUGGAGUCUGCAACUCGACUCCAUGAAGUCGGAAUCGCUGGUAAUCGUAGAUCAGAAUGCUACGGUGGAGAAUACGUUCCCGGGCCUUGUACACACCGCCCGUCACACCAUGGGAGUGGGUUUACAAAAGAAGCCGCGGUAGCUUAACCUUCGGGAGGCGCUUACCACUUUGUGAUUCAUGACUGGGGUGAAGUCAUGCUGAGUAACCGUAGGAGACCUGCGGCUGGAUCACACCUCGCCAGGU
RNAcentral lists this ribosomal RNA (1549 nucleotides) under Serratia marcescens. Its description in RNAcentral is "partial 16S ribosomal RNA". It matches the Rfam family "Bacterial small subunit ribosomal RNA". Lineage: Bacteria; Pseudomonadati; Pseudomonadota; Gammaproteobacteria; Enterobacterales; Yersiniaceae. The record is from RNAcentral.